This 533-nucleotide long non-coding RNA is filed under the name Heterocephalus glaber (naked mole-rat). Its description in RNAcentral is "lncRNA (ENSHGLG00000036642.1)". The record is from RNAcentral. Lineage: Eukaryota; Metazoa; Chordata; Mammalia; Rodentia; Bathyergidae.
GAUGGGACGCCCACCUCGGGGCUGGAGCGGGCGCGGCUCUCUGGGCUCCGCAGGUCCGCGCGCGAGCUGAGCUGCCUGGAGCCGGCGGCCUCCACCGCUUUCCGCGCGCCGCUCCCGGCGGAGACGAAUCCUCUUCGUUCGUUCCCUUUCUUUCUUUUCUUUCUUUCAUUAAGCUUCUCGGUGCUCUUUAGGUGUGCAGUGCCGUUACAUCGCCGCUGGGAUCCUGCACCUUUGCUUACAAAUUGCCGGUGAGGAAGUUUAAAGCUCCAUCGUCACUCCUAAGUGCUUCGGCAGGUGCUCUGUGAGGACACCAUCCACUUCCACAACUGCCAGCCUGGGAAAGAACCGAUCCGCUAUCACCCAGUCUGCCUCUCCCUGGCUUUCUCCCUCUGGGAGCAAUUGACAGACGUCGAUCUGGACCCCUGGAUUAUUGCCUUGUUCAGUGCAUGAUACCACAUUAUAAUAUUUAUUCUGAUGCGCAGUCUAUUCCAGAGUUGGUCUUUGGGCCUUGGAGUGAGACUUUUCUCCAACCA